CCUACGGGAGGCAGCAGUGGGGGAUAUUGGACAAUGGGGGAAACCCUGAUCCAGCGACGCCGCGUGAGUGAAGAAGUAUUUCGGUAUGUAAAGCUCUAUCAGCAGGGAAGAAAGAAAUGACGGUACCUGAGUAAGAAGCCCCGGUUAACUACGUGCCAGCAGCCGCGGUAAUACGUAGGCGGCAAGCGUUAUCCGGAAUUAAUGGGUGUAAAGGGAGCGUAGACGGGAAGGCAAGUCUGGAGUGAAAGUCGGGGGCUCAACCCCCGGACUGCACUUGAAACUGGGUAACUGGAGUGCAGGAGAGGCAGGCGGAAUUCCUGGUGUAGCGGUGAAAUGCGUAGAUAUUAGGAGGAACACCGAUUGCGAAGGCAGCCUGCUGGACUGUCACUGACGUUGAGGCUCGAAAGCGUGGGGAGCAAACAGGAUUAGAUACCCCGGUAGUC
This 443-nucleotide ribosomal RNA is filed under the name uncultured bacterium. Its description in RNAcentral is "partial 16S ribosomal RNA". It matches the Rfam family "Bacterial small subunit ribosomal RNA", at positions 338 to 795 of the family's 1533-position model. The record is from RNAcentral.